This is a long non-coding RNA of Cucumis sativus (cucumber), 1083 nucleotides long. RefSeq lists it as uncharacterized. The transcript has 2 exons. The record is from RefSeq and is a predicted model, not a curated record. NCBI's taxonomy places the organism in Eukaryota, Viridiplantae, Streptophyta, Magnoliopsida, Cucurbitales, Cucurbitaceae.
AAACGUUGAAGUCAAUCAAUGAGUUCCAAAUGCAAUAUUGGAAGUUUUCUUAAAUAUUUUGAUGCUUUUGCAUGUUGUGAAAGAACUUGGUUAGAUGUGAGAAAGGGGUUUAUGAGAUUAGUUACUUACUAUUCCCUUUUUCACUGUCAUUGCUACUCAGUAGAUAUGCUAUGGGCUCGUGUUUCUGUAGAAUAUAAUUCAGAUGCUCUUUCUCUAGAAUAUAAUUUAUAUGUUCUCUCUACAAAUUUGAAGUAAUUUCUACUGUUUUUGCUAAUAAUUUAUAUAUUAUAGAGUUAAAUUUAACACAGUUAAUCAUCUUAAGCAUUUGACUCUGGUGUUCUUAAGAUAUAAAUUCAAAUCCCUAUAAUUUUAUCAUCUUGAUCUUUUCAAUCGUCUCACAUACCGUCUUCAUUUCAUAAUCUUGCCUACUAGCUGCGUAUCAUCAAUGAAAUUACCAUAGGAGUCCACAUGUGGUAAUUAUGGAUCUAGCACGAUAUACUGCGUAUCAUGUUGUUGGAGAUCAUUUUAAAUGAUUAACCAGUCUAUUGGUGGUUUGAGUCUUUCCUUUUGAAUCUAUAGGUUGUUCAAUGGUCUAAUAUUAACUAUGUUUAGAUUUAUGGUAAUUUUCAUUCUUUUACAGCCUUAAUAACCAAGGAAAGGUGUGCUUUGAUAAUCUUUUCUUUCUCUUCAGCAGGUUGGUAAUGUAGAAAGGAUACAUGUAUACUAUGCCCACGGACUAGAUAGCCCAACCUUUGUUCGCCGGUGUUAUUGGCUCCUAGAUAAGACCUUUGAACACAUUGUCCUUGUUCAUUACCGUGAAACACAAGAGGUUAGGUUCAGCACAAUGCAUCUGCAGUUACUGAAAUAUUAUCUUGAGACAAACUUUUAUCAUUUGGACUACUACAUCUAUUUAAGAUUUGCUGAUUUUUCCUCCAUGGUUGCAAUAUUAGAACUUCAUCCAAAAUAAUGUUGUCAUGUGUGUCUUUAUGGUGAUUCAUGUGUUGAGAGUUCUCUUUCUUCUGCUAUCCAUAAAUUUAUGGAAUGGAAAGGCAAUGAUCAUGACACUAUUUUUUGUCAGAUAAA